AUGGUGGCGUGUUUUUUAUGUUGCAGGUCGCAGUUAAUGGGGAUUCUGUGGAGUCCCAGAGUUAUGAGCAACAGGAGAGGCCCAACCCUGUCCGUCUGCCUCCCCUCUCCCCUUCUCCCCUCUCUGCUCAUGCUUCCUCCCCGUCUCCCCUGCCUCCUCCUCCUCCCUCCUCCCCCUCAGCCCUCUCUCUCCCACCCUGCUCCCCCUCUGCCUUACCACUGCCUCCUCCCUCUCCUCUGCAUUCCUCUGCUGUCCUCCCCCUCUCCCCUCCCUCCUCUGCCAUCUUCCCCCCCGCUUCUUCUCCCUCCACCUCCAUCCCCCCGUCUCCCCUUGCGCCCUCCCAGCCUACGGAGACCUAGACCGCCCUCUCCUGUCUCCCUCUGCGACCCGGCAGACGAGGAGGUGUAUCACAUCACCAGCUCAGCCUGCCACAGAUGGAGAGACGAGGAGGGAGGAGACCGCAGCCACUCCCUCUCCCCAUACACCGCCUCCUCCUCCUCCCCUCCGCCUCCCCCGCUACCGCCUUCCUCAUCAAGGAGCGCGCUCAGCCUGCUUGGGGCGGGACUGACGGACCGUGACUUCAAGAAAGGUUUAAGCGUUGACAACCAGGCCUUCCUGGACGAGCCGCCGUCAUUGUCUGCUGGUUACGCUGACGACCAUCGGCGGCACUCUAUUGAGGUCUGCCUCCCACAGGCUGUCAUCACCCGUGAUGACCAACACUUUACACGCGAGGCACACCGGUCAGAAAAAGGUGGUCAGGUAUUUCCUGUGAGGGUGCAGUCGGUCGGGGGCGGUCACAGAAAGAAGAAGAUGAGUCCUCCUUGUAUAUCCAUCCACCCGCCCUCAGAGAGGGAACACCCCCAAAUGGCCUCACCCACAAAAAUGUCUGACUGCAGCAUGUUGCUGAGACGCAGGACGCCGUCCUACGACUUGUCCCCUCACACACAUGCCAACAUGCAAGACGCCUCUGCAGAUUCACUGACGCGCACACAGAUGCACUCCCCGAUGCACACGUCUCUCACACCCAUAAACGUACCGCUGCAAGCACACUCACCAACACACACACUUACACUCUCGCGGGCAUCUACUCCGACACACACUCAGGCAUACACUCCGCCACACCCAUCCACACCUACACUUCCACACAUCCCGAUCAGCCCGAACAUCUUCAUCCAGCCUCAUGCACCUCUCGUCCCGAUGCCUUUCUCACAGACGCACUCCCUCUCCCCUUCUGCGAGGCACUCCUCCCUCACAGGGGACUACAUCCCCCUCCCCCAGUUCACCUUCGAUCAACCACAGUCUAGAUACAUGAGCGGCCUGUCGGCCGGCCUAUCAGACACGGAUACGGCCACCUGCUCUUCCCCUUUCGACAACAGACUGGGAAGCGGUGCAGGAUUCAGUGCAAAGAACCGGAGGACCGCCCAAUGA
This 1428-nucleotide long non-coding RNA is filed under the name Cottoperca gobio. RNAcentral describes it as "lncRNA (ENSCGOG00000017126.1)". Lineage: Eukaryota; Metazoa; Chordata; Actinopteri; Perciformes; Bovichtidae. The record is from RNAcentral.